GAGAUGCCAAGGGGUUAUUAUCUAGAGAGGUGAACAUAAACAUAGAGAAUUACCUCAUAAUGGAAGGAAGUGUGUGUAGGGCUCUGUCAGUGACAUAGAGAGUGGAAGUUCAGAGAAAGGAGAGAAUAUUGUGAACUAAGCAGCCAGGAAAGGCAUUGGAGCAGCCAGGAAAGGCUGAGACUUGAAAGAUGCUAGGAUAGCAUGAGUCAAGAGGAGAGAGAAAUGCUCAAUGCCCACUGUGAGAAGAUAGCCUUUCCCAGUUGGCAUUGGAGAGUAGUGGGACAUCAUACCAUGGUGACAAGGGUAAUCUACCCUUCAGAGUCCCAACUAUCGUCAAAGGAUGACACUGCCACCAUAUGGCUCUCUAGGCACUCCCACACAAUGGACUCUGAGACUGACUGCAUUUUCCAAAAAUAGACACAGCAAUAUUUCUGGUCCCACGUGCUGUUCCAGAACGCUGCCUCUGCCUCAACCAAGAAGUGGAUUUUAUUUCCCCUUCCCUUGAAUUUGAGUGGGACUUCCUUUGUGGGGGCCUCAGUGAAGACACUGCAGUGGAAACAAUGCUGGGUGACUUCAGAGGUUAGGUCAUAAAUAUGACAUGGCUUCCGUCCAUCACUCUCUCUCAGAACACUCACCAUUGGAACUCAGCCGCCAUGUUGUAAGGAAGCCUCAUGUAGAGUUCCAGCAGACAAGCCUAGCUCAGGUACCAGCCAACAGCCAGCGUGAAUCACCAGACAGGUGAAUGAAGACUCCUUUCAGAAGAUUCCAUCCCCAGCCUUUGAAGUGCCCCAGCUGACAGUGAGCAGAGCAGAGACAAGCUAUCCCUGUAAGCUUUGCGUGAACUGCAGAUUCAUGAGAAAAAUAGGUCUCCAGCCUGCCAACCCACUUUGCAGAUUUUGGACUUGCCAAGCCUCCAUAAUCACGUCGUCAGGCUGCCCACACUGGAAUAUCCACUAUGGAGCAUCCAUUCCAUAAGAGCUGAGCUCCUGUCCAUCUCGGUCCCGACUGCAUCCCGACUGAUCCUUGGGACAAUGCCUGGAUCCCCUACGUGGCCGGCAGCAGUACAGAAUGAUAAACUCCUAGUGAAGGGAAGCUGAUCUCCCCAAAAUGCAGAUGCGUUUACCCUUUGAUGCAGCGACCCCACUUCUGGGCAUUUCCUUUACAGAUUCAAUUGCACGUAUACGAUAACAUGUGCACAAAAGUAUUUACUGUGACUUUGUUUGUAUUAUAAUAACAAAAGGUUAUAAACAACCCACGCCCAUCAGUAGAAAAUGAGUUGAAUAAACUAUGGUACAUAUGGAAAUGGAAUGCUAUACAGCUGUUAAAAAUAUUGCAGAAGAUAUCUAUGUGCAGACAAGGACAGAUCCGGGGACAAAGAAUAUACAUAGAGUGCUUUCUAACACACAAAGUGAGAUUUAUAUAUUUAUAUUUGCUUAUAAAUAAAAAAUAAGGAACAAUAGCUACCAGUGGGGGAGUCUUCUUAGUUUAUAUCUUUUUAUCUAAUUUUGAACUUUGAGCUGUGUAAACGUAUUAUGUAUUGAAAAAAGAAUGGUGCCUGGCACAUGGCAGAUGCUCAGCUAAUUGUGUUGAAAGAAAGCAGGGAUUAGUGAAUGAACAUAUGACUUUGAUGAGAAAGACAAGUGACUAGACAUGUUGAGGCCGCCAUGGUAGCCCGCUGCGAGAGGAACUAACAGCUCCCUCAGCCUGGGGGGAUGAGAGUCACGCAUUACUCAGUGUGCUGAAGAGUGUCCCUAAGGGAGGACCUUAUGGUUAUAGGAGCAGGUCUGAGUCUACGGCUCUGCGUGCGGGUGGUCCUCAAGGUCAAGGUGAGUCUACUAGGCAGGCAUUCAUUCGUUAUUCGUUCAUCCACUCAAGAAAUCCUUGCUGGGUGUUACUUUGUGCAAGGUCGUGCACUGAGGGCUGUGGACAUCAGGAGAACUGGGCAGCUGUGAUCCCCGUCCUCUGGGAGCUCACAGUCCAAGGCACACAGGAGUCGAAGGUGUAUCCUGAGCCCGCACCCCUCCGUUUGGCUUUAGCCUGUCCCGCUCUCCUUUGGAUGAGUCUCCUGGGGACAGAGGGGUGGAAUAAAGAGGAAAUCAAAUACUAAUUUGCAGAAUUAUAGUGAAGUUGUGAGUACGGAGCAGAGGGAGUUUGUUACCCUGGAACAGGGCAUGCUAACUCAUGGGGGCCUGAACUUCCCACCUCUUUAACUCCUUUGUGGGCAAAAGAAACUUCUAGGUCAUUGGAACAGACUGGAAGGAAGCAUCCUGUUGGCAGUGUUGGGGUACUGUACGUGGCAGUAGGGAAACAGAGACUCGUGGUUUUCCUGGGGGCUCCUGAGCCUCCCAAGAGCCAGCAGACCCCACGGCAACGUGGAGAACACCCGCUGUUGUCAACAUUUACGAGGCGCACUCCACGUGGUCUUCUGCUUUGGGCGAAGGAAAGGGUUUUUGAGGGUCACCGUCCAGUGGUCUCUCCUGAUCUGGAAGCACAGAAAUGUAGUUUGUUAUGUUUAUUGUAAGCUGACCAAAUUCACAAGAUGAUAACCUGGAAAUGACCGGUGACAAAUGACUUAACCUUGUCCCUUCCCAAAAUGAAAGAAAUCUGUGCGCUCAGUUGAGAGCCGACCUUCUAUUAAAGAUGCAUGUUCGAGAUGCAUUUCAAAAUCGUGGCAGUAACCCUGAUCCGAUGGAAAGACUUCCUUGUGAUCUUGCCUCUGGAGUUCAUUUUUGGGAACAGAAUGAACCUGGAAGCAAAGCAAGAGUAUGAGUAUAAAAAGAUGGCGGAGGGACAGACUGUUCUUGGCACGAAAUUGCAGCCAUUUUAAUGAUUCAGUUAGAGCAAAUUUAAAUUAAUAACACCCCUUUCUAUCAUAAGUGUUUUGGUGACCCACAGCCCAAGGAAAUGAUCAAAAUCAAUGAUAGUAUUUCCAAGAGUAAUUUACAGUCUACAGUUUUCAGAUGCUUCAGUCCGUUUAUGCUUCACCAAAUCCCGUAAGGAGACACUACCCUCUCCGUUUAAUGAUGAGUCAAGAGUUCCGGGCCUCGCCCGGGGGGCACUGUGCUCACAGGUGAGGGAGGCAGAACUUGAAUUUGAUCCUUUUUGGCACUGGAGCUUCUGCACUUUCCACCACGCCACACGCGCAAUGUCAGCAUGGUACCUCUGCCUGGUGAGCCUCCUCACCUUCUGAUGACACUCACUCACUACAAAGGCCACCGUGUGUAUGGAGGUAGAACUUUGAACUUGACCUGCUGUAGAUGUGCCGGCCUCUGGGCAGCAGGAAGAGAGAAGUGAAAAGUGGCUGACCUUCUGCUCUUCUCAUCCUCGGCGUGAAGUCACCGCCGUUGUAAUCGUUCCAUCGAGCUCUCGCUAAUGGAGAAGAUGAGUGUCCCCAGGGCAGAGGCUGUCGCUGUCUCAUUGACUGUUGUGCACAUUGCCUAGACCACAGCUGGAUGCUGAAUGAGUAAAUAAACCCCCAGCACAUCCCAAAUGAUUUGGGAAGGAUAUGUUAGAAGAUUGGUGGUGGUUAUACAGAGUAUGGGGGAGAGGGAAGACCUAAAGAGACAGAUUUUUGAUGGCAUCCUGACUCUCUACUCUAACUCAUUCAAAAGUAGACUAAAGGGGCUAUCGUACUUUUUCCUCCAGCUUAAUGUGGCUUGGUAACCUAGAUAGCCAUGAACUCAGUUAACUUCAAAAUGAUGCUCAGAAAUAUGGUAUUUGGGAUAAAGAAACAAGCUCAGAGAGGUUAAAUGGUUUUCCCAAAGUCACACAGCUGGCGAACAGCUCAGCAAGCCUGACCCAGCGUCUUUGGACUAAACCCAGGGCUCAUUGCGUUAUUCUCGUUGCUUCUCCAUCAGGGACCCUUGAGACCAAACAUUAGAAUUCCUGGGAGCAGAGGAGGAGAAAGCAGAGGAGCCUGCCUCCAGAUCUUAUUCUUAGGCUGAAUAAUCUUCCGUUGUAUGUAUGGACUACAUUUUGCUCAUCCAUUCAUCUCUUGAUGGACAUCCGGGUUGCUUCCACUUUGGCCUAUUAGACAACAUUUUAUAUGCUUGACCUCAGUCAGAAUUCAAAUCUGGUGAACAGGAAGGAGGAAAUGGGAAGACCUGCGUGCUGAAUUAUCAUCUUUGGCGGAUAAAGUCAUCUGACUUUUGAGGCAGAACAAAUGAGUGGCAUGUCUAUCUCAUAAACACUGAAGAGAAGAGAAGGCUGCUCCAAUUUUAACGCUUUAUGCUUAGUGUUUUGGAAAUAGCAGCAAGACUGGAAGCACUGUGCUAAAAAUGGAGCUUCUGAGACAGCCCUCCUCUCCCUUAUUUCGCUUCCAGGAGAUAAGUAAGGGAGCGCAACGUUUCCCAAACGGGAAGCCCGUGAAAGAUGUGGAUCUGGUCAAUAAAUCUUUCAAGAGCUAUAUUUUAUUCAUGACUCCUACACAGUUUUCCUUAUAAAUCUACUCAACCUAUAUAUUUUUCCCCUGUUGCAAAUUCUAACACUAUGAAUAAAG
Long non-coding RNA from Equus caballus (horse), 4498 nucleotides. The record is from Ensembl. Lineage: Eukaryota; Metazoa; Chordata; Mammalia; Perissodactyla; Equidae.